AGUGAACGCUGGCGGUAGGCCUAACACAUGCAAGUCGAACGGCAGCACAGUAAGAGCUUGCUCUUACGGGUGGCGAGUGGCGGACGGGUGAGGAAUACAUCGGAAUCUACUUUUUCGUGGGGGAUAACGUAGGGAAACUUACGCUAAUACCGCAUACGACCUACGGGUGAAAGCAGGGGAUCUUCGGACCUUGCGCGAUUGAAUGAGCCGAUGUCGGAUUAGCUAGUUGGCGGGGUAAAGGCCCACCAAGGCGACGAUCCGUAGCUGGUCUGAGAGGAUGAUCAGCCACACUGGAACUGAGACACGGUCCAGACUCCUACGGGAGGCAGCAGUGGGGAAUAUUGGACAACGGGCGCAAGCCUGAUCCAGCCAGACCGCGUGGGUGAAGAAGGCCUUCGGGUUGUAAAGCCCUUUUGUUGGGAAAGAAAAGCAGCAGGUUAAGACCCCGCUGUUCUGACGGUACCCAAAGAAUAAGCACCGGCUAACUUCGUG
This 492-nucleotide ribosomal RNA is filed under the name uncultured bacterium. RNAcentral describes it as "partial 16S ribosomal RNA". It matches the Rfam family "Bacterial small subunit ribosomal RNA", at positions 29 to 507 of the family's 1533-position model. The record is from RNAcentral.